UCCCUACGGGGCGCACCAGGCGCGAAACCUCUGCAAUAGGCGAAAGCUUGACAGGGUUACUCUGAGUGAUUUCCGUUAAGGAGAUCUUUUGGCACCUCUAAAAAUGGUGCAGAAUAAGGGGUGGGCAAGUCUGGUGUCAGCCGCCGCGGUAAUUCA
This 156-nucleotide ribosomal RNA is filed under the name uncultured archaeon. RNAcentral describes it as "partial 16S ribosomal RNA". It matches the Rfam family "Archaeal small subunit ribosomal RNA", at positions 319 to 477 of the family's 1478-position model. The record is from RNAcentral.